GAUGGCCAGAGGAGGGGGACCCGGGUGGCACCGGAGCCGCAUCCACGCAGCCUCCCCGCACGCCCGCGCUCAGGAUCCGGGGUCCAGACCCCGGAAUCCCCUGCAUCGACCUGAAGGCAGAGCAUUUGCUUCCAGGAGGACUUCAGCUUCUGAUCUGCUCUUUAGGGAAGUUUUUCACUGUGAAUUAAUAAAUUGAAGUCCGGACUCCUGGUCAUGGUUAACAAGGCUGUGGGGGAUCUGACCACUCACUCCUCCACAGACCCUGGACCCCAGAUGCUGCUGAAUUGUUUGAGUUCUCUUGUUUGCAGUUACUCAUGAUGGAGGCUGAGCAGCAAAGCCUGAGUGAGGUGCAGAUGAACACAUUAGCAGGCAGUGGAAGCAUUUCUAUGGAUGGAUGUUGAGAUUAUAUGGAGACUCUGAAAACUAUCAUCUGUUGGUGGAUUCUAAUUAUGAAUGCUUGAAAUAACUUGCUUUCAGUCACCCAUAAUGUUUGGUACAAAUUAAUGCUUAUAAUUUAUAGUAUUUAAAUUAACACUUUAGAAUCCAGUACAUUAUUUAGUGAUUUUGAGAUAUUAACAGUAAGUGAAAGGAAAAUGACAGCCACAUAGUAACUAACAAUACUAUUUAUAUAAUGUUGCAAAUCUAUCAUGAGCUAAUUGGAAAUACAAAGUAAGAGAUAUUUUUGGCCAAAUUAUUUUUUUUAAGUGUUUAAAAUGCCAAAAAGAUAGGAAUAAUGACUAAGGCAGCUUUAAAUAAUAUAUACUCAAAAGGGGAUUGACUGUUGGGGUAGGCUCCACCCCUAAUUAUGUGUAAAUUUCAUUCCUCCCUCUGUGCUAGAAACUGGGAAACAAAAAUUAGUAAGACAGGGUUUCUGCCCUUAAGGCCCUUACCAUCUAAUGAAAGAGACGGGCUGGCCAAGCAACAGCUAAGAGUCAAGGAGAUCAUUUAAAGUUGACACAUUGGAUUUGUUUUUGUAGGCAGUAAUUCUAAGAAUGAGAAUAGCUGUGUUCCUGCCAAAGCUAAUAUGUGAGCUGUUGGUGCUCUAAGGCAUAAUUCAAAUAGUAAAUAAAACCAAUCCUCAGACAGAUAACUGAAAACACUGCAUUGGUUACCAAUCCUUGUUCCUCAGGCAAAAAACUACUAUACUAUUUCCUGAAUGUAUUGAAUUUGGUGGCUUAAAAUGAUGUUUUCCAGGUUGUUCUAUCGAUUCUGUUUUUAGAAAGUUGUUCUAC
Molecule: long non-coding RNA, 1232 nt
Organism: Artibeus jamaicensis (Jamaican fruit-eating bat)
Lineage: Eukaryota; Metazoa; Chordata; Mammalia; Chiroptera; Phyllostomidae
Exons: 3
Source: RefSeq, a predicted model, not a curated record